RNAcentral lists this non-coding RNA (238 nucleotides) under uncultured Prevotella sp. Lineage: Bacteria; Pseudomonadati; Bacteroidota; Bacteroidia; Bacteroidales; Prevotellaceae. The record is from RNAcentral.
CAUCGUGAGUUGGAAUCUGAAAGAAGUCGGCGGCAAACAUCUGACCUAACGAACAGAAACUUCAUAUAAGGCAUAUUUCUGUUCAUAAAAUAUAACCUGAGGUUCAAACAACCAUCUGUUCACAUCAUGAACAGGAGGUUUAUCCUGUUUGAAAUGUUUUUCGCAAUUUUGCAGCAGAUUUAUAAGCCUAUAGUAAGAAAAGGAAGCGCGUGAGUGUAAAAAAAGUGGUUGGUGGUUG